This 253-nucleotide ribosomal RNA is filed under the name uncultured bacterium. Its description in RNAcentral is "partial 16S ribosomal RNA". It matches the Rfam family "Bacterial small subunit ribosomal RNA", at positions 524 to 776 of the family's 1533-position model. The record is from RNAcentral.
UAUGUAGGGUGCGAGCGUUGUCCGGAAUUAUUGGGCGUAAAGGGCUCGUAGGCGGUUUGUCGCGUCGGGAGUGAAAACACCGGGCUUAACUCGGUGCUUGCUUUCGAUACGGGCAGACUAGAGGUAUGCAGGGGAGAACGGAAUUCCUGGUGUAGCGGUGAAAUGCGCAGAUAUCAGGAGGAACACCGGUGGCGAAGGCGGUUCUCUGGGCAUUACCUGACGCUGAGGAGCGAAAGUGUGGGGAGCGAACAGG